UACGGGAGGCAGCAGUGGGGAAUAUUGCACAAUGGGCGCAAGCCUGAUGCAGCCAUGCCGCGUGUAUGAAGAAGGCCUUCGGGUUGUAAAGUACUUUCAGUCGUGAGGAAGGUGUUAAGGUUAAUAACCUUAGCAAUUGACGUUAGCGACAGAAGAAGCACCGGCUAACUCCGUGCCAGCAGCCGCGGUAAUACGGAGGGUGCGAGCGUUAAUCGGAAUUACUGGGCGUAAAGGGCACGCAGGCGGUUAAUUAAGUUGGAUGUGAAAUCCCCGGGCUUAACCUGGGAAUGGCAUUCAAGACUGGUUAGCUAGAGUCUUGUAGAGGGGGUAGAAUUCCAUGUGUAGCGGUGAAAUGCGUAGAGAUGUGGAGGAAUACCGGUGGCGAAGGCGGCCCCUGGACAAAGGCUGACGCUCAUGUGCGAAAGCGUGGGGA
Molecule: ribosomal RNA, 433 nt
Filed under: uncultured bacterium
Lineage: Bacteria
Description: bacterial SSU rRNA
Rfam family: Bacterial small subunit ribosomal RNA
Source: RNAcentral